This 428-nucleotide ribosomal RNA is filed under the name uncultured archaeon. RNAcentral's name for it is "bacterial SSU rRNA". It matches the Rfam family "Archaeal small subunit ribosomal RNA", at positions 44 to 473 of the family's 1478-position model. The record is from RNAcentral.
UUAAGCCAUGCAAGUCGAACGAGUUUAGGCUCGUGGCGUACGGCUCAGUAACACGUGGAUAACCUACCCUUAGGACCGGGAUAACCUUGGGAAACUGAGGAUAAUACUGGAUAGGCAAUUAUUUCUGCAAUGGUUUUUUGUUUAAAUGUUUUUUUCGCCUAAGGAUGGGUCUGCGGCCGAUUAGGUAGUUGGUUAGGUAAAGGCUUACCAAGCCGUUGAUCGGUACGGGUUGUGAGAGCAAGAGCCCGGAGAUGGAACCUGAGACAAGGUUCCAGGCCCUACGGGGUGCAGCAGGCGCGAAACCUCCGCAAUGUGAGAAAUCGCGACGGGGGGAUCCCAAGUGCCAUUCUUAACGGGAUGGCUUUUCAUUAGUGUAAAGAGCUUUUGGAAUAAGGGCUGGGCAAGACCGGUGCCAGCCGCCGCGGUAA